Molecule: ribosomal RNA, 229 nt
Filed under: uncultured bacterium
Lineage: Bacteria
Description: partial 16S ribosomal RNA
Rfam family: Bacterial small subunit ribosomal RNA
Source: RNAcentral
UCCGUAGGCGGGUAAUUAAGUCAGAGGUGAAAUCCCACAGCUUAACUGUGGAACUGCCUUAGAUACUGGUUAUCUUGAGUUUUAGUGAAGUAGAUAGAAUGUGUAGUGUAGCGGUGAAAUGCAUAGAUAUUACACAGAAUACCGAUUGCGAAGGCAGUCUACUAACUAUAUACUGACGCUAAUGGACGAAAGCGUGGGGAGCGAACAGGAUUAGAUACCCUGGUAGUCC